GAUGAACGCUGGCGGCGUGCCUAAUACAUGCAAGUCGAGCGAACGGACGAGAAGCUUGCUUCUCUGAUGUUAGCGGCGGACGGGCGAGUAACACGUGGAUAACCUACCUAUAAGACUGGGAUAACUUCGGGAAACCGGAGCUAAUACCGGAUAAUAUUUUGAACCGCAUGGUUCAAAAGUGAAAGACGGUCUUGCUGUCACUUAUAGAUGGAUCCGCGCUGCAUUAGCUAGUUGGUAAGGUAACGGCUUACCAAGGCAACGAUGCAUAGCCGACCUGAGAGGGUGAUCGGCCACACUGGAACUGAGACACGGUCCAGACUCCUACGGGAGGCAGCAGUAGGGAAUAUUCCGCAAUGGGCGCAAGCCUGACGGAGCAACGCCGCGUGAGUGAUGAAGGUCUUCGGAUCGUAAAACUCUGUUAUUAGGGAAGAACAUAUGUGUAAGUAACUGUGCACAUCUUGACGGUACCUAAUCAGAAAGCCACGGCUAACUUCGUG
RNAcentral lists this ribosomal RNA (497 nucleotides) under uncultured bacterium. RNAcentral describes it as "partial 16S ribosomal RNA". It matches the Rfam family "Bacterial small subunit ribosomal RNA", at positions 28 to 507 of the family's 1533-position model. The record is from RNAcentral.